CCUACGGGCGGCUGCAGUGGGGAAUAUUGGACAAUGGGCGCAAGCCUGAUCCAGCAAUGCCGCGUGUGUGAAGAAGGCCUGCGGGUUGUAAAGCACUUUGAGUGGGGAAGAAGGCCUGGGGGUUAAUAGCUUCUGGGAUUGACGUUACCCACAGAACAAGCACCGGCUAACUCAGUGCCAGCAGCCGCGGUAAUACGGAGGGUGCGAACGUUACUCGGAGCUACUGGGCGUAAAGCGCGCGUUCUCAUGUGAAAGCCCUGGGCGUAACCUGGGAACUGCAUUGGAUACUGUGUGACUGGAGUGUGGUAGAGGGGUGUGGAAUUUCCGGUGUAGCAGUGAAAUGCGUAGAGAUCGGAAGGAACACCAGUGGCGAAGGCGGCACCCUGGACCGACACUGACGCUGAGGUGCGAAAGCGUGGGGAGCAAACAGGAUUAGAUACCCCAGUAGUC
RNAcentral lists this ribosomal RNA (450 nucleotides) under uncultured bacterium. RNAcentral describes it as "partial 16S ribosomal RNA". It matches the Rfam family "Bacterial small subunit ribosomal RNA", at positions 338 to 795 of the family's 1533-position model. The record is from RNAcentral.